Molecule: ribosomal RNA, 329 nt
Filed under: uncultured eukaryote
Lineage: Eukaryota
Description: partial 18S ribosomal RNA
Rfam family: Eukaryotic small subunit ribosomal RNA
Source: RNAcentral
CCCUUAGAUGUUCUGGGCCGCACGCGCGCUACACUGAUGCAUUCAACGAGUCUAAAACCUGCUCUGAUAGGGGUGGGUAAUCUUUUGAAUGUGCAUCGUGAUUGGGAUAGAUGAUUGCAAUUUUUCAUCUUCAACGAGUAAUGCCUAGUAAACGCAAGUCAUCAGCUUGCAUUGAUUACGUCCCUGCCCUUUGUACACACCGCCCGUCGCUCCUACCGAUUGAAUGAUCCGAUGAAUAUCAUGGAUUGAGGAUGCAAGCAGGUUCGCCUGUCUUCAUCUUCGAGAAGUGAAGUAAAUCUUAUCAUUUAGAGGAAGGAGAAGUCGUAACA